GACGAACGCUGGCGGCGUGCUUAACACAUGCAAGUCGAACGGAAAGGCCCUGCUUGCAGGGUACUCGAGUGGCGAACGGGUGAGUAACACGUGGGUGUUCUGCCCUGCACUUCGUGGUAAGCCUGGGGAACUGGGUCUAAUAUCCGAGAGGGGCCAUUCUUAUUGUUAUGGUUGGAAAGUUUUUUUGGUGUGGGAUGAGCUUGCGGGCUACCAGCUUGUUUGUGGGGUAAUGGCCUACCAAGGCGGCGGCGGGCAGCCGGCCUGGGUGGGUGGACGGCCAAAUUGGGACCGGGAUACGGCCCAGACUCCUACGGGGGGCAGCAGUGGGGAAUAUUGCACAAUGGGCGCAAGCCUGAUGCAGCGACGGCGCGUGGGGGAUGACGGGCUUCGGGUUGUAAACCCCUUUCGCUAGGGAAGAAGCUGUGUGUGACGGUACCGAGAUAAGAAGCACCGGCUAACUACGUG
Molecule: ribosomal RNA, 465 nt
Filed under: uncultured bacterium
Lineage: Bacteria
Description: partial 16S ribosomal RNA
Rfam family: Bacterial small subunit ribosomal RNA
Source: RNAcentral